AUUGAACGCUGGCGGCAUGCCUUACACAUGCAAGUCGAACGGCAGCACGGGAGCAAUCCUGGUGGCGAGUGGCGAACGGGUGAGUAAUAUAUCGGAACGUGCCCAGUCGUGGGGGAUAACGCAGCGAAAGCUGUGCUAAUACCGCAUACGAUCUCUGGAUGAAAGCGGGGGACUCAGCAAUGGGCCUCGCGCGAUUGGAGCGGCCGAUAUCAGAUUAGCUAGUUGGUGGGGUAAAAGCCCACCAAGGCGACGAUCUGUAGCUGGUCUGAGAGGACGACCAGCCACACUGGAACUGAGACACGGUCCAGACUCCUACGGGAGGCAGCAGUGGGGAAUUUUGGACAAUGGGCGAAAGCCUGAUCCAGCAAUGCCGCGUGCAGGAUGAAGGCCUUCGGGUUGUAAACUGCUUUUGUACGGAACGAAACGGUUCUCCUUAAUACGGAGGGCUAAUGACGGUACCGUAAGAAUAAGCACCGGCUAACUACGUG
Molecule: ribosomal RNA, 488 nt
Filed under: uncultured bacterium
Lineage: Bacteria
Description: bacterial SSU rRNA
Rfam family: Bacterial small subunit ribosomal RNA
Source: RNAcentral